This 559-nucleotide ribosomal RNA is filed under the name uncultured bacterium. RNAcentral describes it as "partial 16S ribosomal RNA". It matches the Rfam family "Bacterial small subunit ribosomal RNA", at positions 355 to 900 of the family's 1533-position model. The record is from RNAcentral.
UAGGGAAUCUUCCACAAUGGACGCAAGUCUGAUGGAGCAACGCCGCGUGAGUGAAGAAGGUUUUCGGACCGUAAAGCUCUGUUGUUGGUGAAGAAGGAUAGAGGUAGUAACUGGCCUUUAUUUGACGGUAAUCAACCAGAAAGUCACGGCUAACUACGUGCCAGCAGCCGCGGUAAUACGUAGGUGGCAAGCGUUGUCCGGAUUUAUUGGGCGUAAAGCGAGCGCAGGCGGAAGAAUAAGUCUGAUGUGAAAGCCCUCGGCUUAACCGAGGAAUUGCAUCGGAAACUGUUUUUCUUGAGUGCAGAAGAGGAGAGUAGAACUCCAUGUGUAGCGGUGGAAUGCGUAGAUAUAUGGAAGAAUACCAGUGGCGAAGGCGGCUCUCUGGUCUGCAAACUGACGCUGAGGCUCGAAAAGCAUGGGUAGCGAACAGGAUUAGAUACCCUGGUAGUCCAUGCCGUAAAACGAUGAGUGCUAAGUGUUGGGAGGCUUCCGCCUCUCAGUGCUGCAGCUAAACGCAUUAAGCACUCCGCCUGGGGGAGUACGACCGCAAGGUUGAAAC